CGGCGAGUGAACAGGGAAAAGCCCAGCACCGAAGCCUGUGGCCAUUUGGUUACUAGGCAAUGUGGUGUUUAGGUCGUUCCGCAGAUACUCUGCUCCACCUCAAGUCCAUCAAUGAGUACGGUAGUAUGGACAUGGCCCAUAGAGGGUGAAAGGCCCGUGGGGGUGGAGACUCGGCUGGUCAGAGUGUCUCUGGGUAGACCUUGGAGUCGGGUUGUUUGUGAAUGCAGCCCAAAGUGGGUGGUAAACUCCAUCCAAGGCUAAAUACUUGCACGAGUCCGAUAGCGAACAAGUACCGUGAGGGAAAGUUGAAAAGUACUUUGAAGAGAGAGUAAACAGUGCGUGAAACCGCUCAGAGGUAAACGGGUGGAGUUGAACUGCAAGCUUUGAGAAUUCAGCUGAUGAGUGUGAUUUGGGCUUGGUCAAAUUGGUGAACUCCGGGGUCUGUGUAGUAGCAGGUCUCUGCCCUCGGGUGGGGAUGCGCGAUACACUUGUCAAGUGUUGUGCGCCUCGGUUGUUUUUCGGCCUACUCGUCAGUGCACUUUCUCAGAGUGGUCACCACGACCGGCACCGCUGUCUGGUUGCUAUGGUUAAACCGGUUUUGCAUAGCACUCGUGGCUUUGCUUGAUCGGGAUGGCAGGUAGCUCGUUGACUUGCUUGUGGCUUGCUGCAGGCGUCGGUUUUCGAGUGUAAUCAGCUGACCUUAGUGACUCUGUGCAGUGUGUCGGAGACGGCGGCUUGAGGUGUGUGCGUGCUCCCUGUUCUGCUGACCUAUCCGGGUUUGGUUGUUUUGUUGCCUGUUCAAGCAGGCCUUAUGAUGGCUCGGAUUUGUCGGGUGGGGGGUGGAGUACGUGGCACUAAUCUGAGGGCCAUAGUCAGUGGUGUAGUGGUAGACUUUCCACCUGACCCGUCUUGAAACACGGACCAAGGAGAGUAACAUGUACGCGAGUCAUUGGGCGUUACGAAACCCAAAGGCGUAGUGAAAGUAAAGGUUUGACUCGUUCAGACUGAGGUGAGAUCUUGUCGUUUCUUACGCGUGGUACCACCAAGCAUCGAGCGGCAGGCGCAUCACCGGCCCGUCCCAUGACAGUUGUUUUCGGGCAGUUUUCGGUCGGGGCGGAGCAUGAGCGUACAUGUUGAGACCCGAAAGAUGGUGAACUAUGCUUGCGCAGGUUGAAGCCAGAGGAAACUCUGGUGGAGGACCGCAGCGAUUCUGACGUGCAAAUCGAUCGUCAAACGUGAGUAUAGGGGCG
This 1250-nucleotide ribosomal RNA is filed under the name Mesocoelium sp. 1 TW-2021. RNAcentral describes it as "partial 28S rRNA". It matches the Rfam family "Eukaryotic large subunit ribosomal RNA", at positions 87 to 925 of the family's 3401-position model. Lineage: Eukaryota; Metazoa; Platyhelminthes; Trematoda; Plagiorchiida; Brachycoeliidae. The record is from RNAcentral.